AUUGAACGCUGGCGGCGUGCCUAACACAUGCAAGUCGAGCGGUAACAGGUGUAGCAAUACAUGCUGACGAGCGGCGGACGGGUGAGCAAUAUUUGGGAAUCUGCCUAUUAGUGGGGGACAACCCGGGGAAACUCGGGCUAAUACCGCAUACGCACUAUGGUGGAAAGCCGGGGACCGUAAGGCCUGGCGCUAAUAGAUGAGCCCAAAUCGGAUUAGCUAGUUGGUGAGGUAACGGCUCACCAAGGCGACGAUCCGUAGCUGGUCUGAGAGGACGACCAGCCACACCGGAACUGAGACACGAUCCGGACUCCUACGGGAGGCAGCAGUGGGGAAUAUUGGACAAUGGGCGAAAGCCUGAUCCAGCGACGCCGCGUGGGUGAAGAAGGCCUGCGGGUUGUAAAGCCCUUUCGGUGGGGAAGAAAAGCCUCGUUCUAAUACAGCGGGGUCUUGACGUAACCCAUAGAAGAAGCACCGGCUAACUCUGUGCCAGCAGCCGCGGUAA
Molecule: ribosomal RNA, 502 nt
Filed under: uncultured bacterium
Lineage: Bacteria
Description: partial 16S ribosomal RNA
Rfam family: Bacterial small subunit ribosomal RNA
Source: RNAcentral